GACGAACGCUGGCGGCGUGCCUAAUACAUGCAAGUAGGACGCACAGUUUAUACCGUAGCUUGCUACACCAUAGACUGUGAGUUGCGAACGGGUGAGUAACGCGUAGGUAACCUGCCUAUUAGAGGGGGAUAACUAUUGGAAACGAUAGCUAAUACCGCAUAACAGUAUGUAACACAUGUUAGAUGCUUGAAAGAUGCAAUUGCAUCGCUAGUAGAUGGACCUGCGUUGUAUUAGCUAGUAGGUAGGGUAAUGGCCUACCUAGGCGACGAUACAUAGCCGACCUGAGAGGGUGAUCGGCCACACUGGGACUGAGACACGGCCCAGACUCCUACGGGAGGCAGCAGUAGGGAAUCUUCGGCAAUGGGGGGAACCCUGACCGAGCAACGCCGCGUGAGUGAAGAAGGUUUUCGGAUCGUAAAGCUCUGUUGUUAAGGAAGAAACGAGUGUGAGAAUGGAAAGUUCAUAC
RNAcentral lists this ribosomal RNA (466 nucleotides) under Streptococcus anginosus. Its description in RNAcentral is "bacterial SSU rRNA". It matches the Rfam family "Bacterial small subunit ribosomal RNA", at positions 28 to 478 of the family's 1533-position model. The record is from RNAcentral. Lineage: Bacteria; Bacillati; Bacillota; Bacilli; Lactobacillales; Streptococcaceae.